RNAcentral lists this ribosomal RNA (439 nucleotides) under uncultured bacterium. RNAcentral describes it as "partial 16S ribosomal RNA". It matches the Rfam family "Bacterial small subunit ribosomal RNA", at positions 338 to 795 of the family's 1533-position model. The record is from RNAcentral.
CCUACGGGAGGCAGCAGUGGGGGAUAUUGCACAAUGGGGGGAACCCUGAUGCAGCGACGCCGCGUGGGUGAAGGAGCGUUUCGGCGCGUAAAGCCCUAUCGGCAAGGAAGAUAAUGACGGUACUUGCGGAGGAAGCCCCGGCUAACUACGUGCCAGCAGCCGCGGUAAUACGUAGGGGGCUAGCGUUAUCCGGAAUUACUGGGCGUAAAGGGUGCGUAGGUGGUUUCUUAAGUCAGAGGUGAAAGGCUACGGCUAAACCGUAGUAAGCCUUUGAAACUGGGGAACGUGAGUGCAGGAGAGGAGAGUGGAAUUCCUAGUGUAGCGGUGAAAUGCGUAGAUAUUAGGAGGAACACCAGUUGCGAAGGCGGCUCUCUGGACUGUAACUGACACUGAGGCACGAAAGCGUGGGGAGCAAACAGGAUUAGAUACCCUUGUAGUC